Molecule: ribosomal RNA, 447 nt
Filed under: uncultured bacterium
Lineage: Bacteria
Description: partial 16S ribosomal RNA
Rfam family: Bacterial small subunit ribosomal RNA
Source: RNAcentral
CCAGACUCCUACGGGAGGCAGCAGUGGGGAAUAUUGCACAAUGGGGGAAACCCUGAUGCAGCGACGCCGCGUGAGUGAGGAAGUAUUUCGGUAUGUAAAGCUCUAUCAGCAGGGAAGAAAAUGGCGGUACCUGACUAAGAAGCCCCGGCUAACUACGUGCCAGCAGCCGCGGUGAUACGUAUGGUGCAAGCGUUAUCCGGAUUUACUGGGUGUAAAGGGAGCGCAGGCGGCACGGCAAGCCUGAUGUGAAAGCCCGGGGCUCAACCCUGGGACUGCUCUGGAAACUGUAAAGCUGGAGUGCGGGAGGGGCAGGCGGAAUUCCUGGUGUAGCGGCGAAAUGCGUAGAUAUCAGGAGGAACACCGGUGGCGAAGGCGGCCUGCUGGACUGCAACUGACGUUGAGGCCCGAAAGCGUGGGGAGCAAACAGGAUUAGAUACCCCGGUAGUU